CGGUCGAUGAUGAUGUGACCACUGCGCAAUCUGAGUUCUAGGAACCAGAUGAUGGAGUGGAUGCUGAGAGCCGACUGAGACCU
Non-coding RNA from Vulpes vulpes (red fox), 83 nucleotides. Ensembl annotates it as small Cajal body-specific RNA 18. The record is from Ensembl. NCBI's taxonomy places the organism in Eukaryota, Metazoa, Chordata, Mammalia, Carnivora, Canidae.